RNAcentral lists this ribosomal RNA (573 nucleotides) under Entrophospora sp. RNAcentral's name for it is "SSU rRNA". It matches the Rfam family "Eukaryotic small subunit ribosomal RNA", at positions 548 to 1114 of the family's 1831-position model. Lineage: Eukaryota; Fungi; Glomeromycota; Glomeromycetes; Entrophosporales; Entrophosporaceae. The record is from RNAcentral.
UUGGAGGGCAAGUCUGGUGCCAGCAGCCGCGGUAAUUCCAGCUCCAAUAGCGUAUAUUAAAGUUGUUGCAGUUAAAAAGCUCGUAGUUGAAUUUCGGGAUUGGCGCAUCGGUCGUGCCUCACGGGGUAUGAACUGGUGCAGUCAAUUUCUCACCUUCUGGAGAACCGCGAUGUCCUUAAUUGGAUGCCGCGGGGGAACCAGGACCUUUACUUUGAAAAAAUUAGAGUGUUUAAAGCAGGCAUUUUUGCUUGAAUACAUUAGCAUGGAAUAAUAAAAUAGGACGGCAUGGUUCUAUUUUGUUGGUUUCUAGGACCACCGUAAUGAUUAAUAGGGAUAGUUGGGGGCAUUAGUAUUCAAUUGUCAGAGGUGAAAUUCUUGGAUUUAUUGAAGACUAACUACUGCGAAAGCAUUUGCCAAGGAUGUUUUCAUUAAUCAAGAACGAAAGUUAGGGGAUCGAAGACGAUCAGAUACCGUCGUAGUCUUAACCAUAAACUAUGCCGACUAGGAAUCAGACGAUGUUAAUUUUUUAAUGACUCGUUUGGCACCUUACGGGAAACCAAAGUGUUUGGGUUC